CUAUNACUGUUCGUUUGGCUCUUCGACUAUGCUCUGCGACUUCGGGACCAAGUAAACCGUCCUAGUGAAACGUUCCGAGAUCACCGCGGGUUGGUAGUCUGUCGUCCGGGUUACUGCCAAACAGACAAAGGUCAAAGUUGAACUAUAGAAAUUAGGAGCACAGUCGGACACGCGUUGGUCUUACGUACCACGGGAACCCGUCUCAGACUUUAACGAAGCGUCAAAGAAUUUACAAAGUUAAAUAUAAUUACAAGAACUAUCCCGGGCUGUGUCGGCUCAUUGGGAUCGUUCCCAGUGAGGGGACACACACACGGUUGUCAGGCCUAUCCUCGACAAGAAACACUUAACUUAGUAUACACUUGACCGCGUUCACGGUGUCUAUGCAUAAUACUGUAAAAAGCACGCUCUGUUCUCGAACGUCCAUGGUAAAGGCAAGCAGGUUUUGGAGCAGGAUUAACAGUGAGUAGUGUUUGAUGUUGUACGCGGCCAGAUUGGCCGCUGGCUUCGGGUGGAUUAUGUUUACAGGGGGCGGGGGAACAAACGCGUCGAACAUGUCCGUGUCCGCGUCUGUGAACACCAACGAGGACGGGAUCCAUCUUGCUCUGGGCAGCAUGAAACACCAUAAGCGUCAUUGACGACCAGUUCGAAUUUAUUAUGAAAAAGUCUACGACGUUUGUAGAAUUGUCGAAUAAGGAACUGGUGGCUUGAAAUGUCUUAGAAUUGUAAAAUAAGAAACCUUCGGACCAUGAUA
This is a non-coding RNA of Megalopta genalis, 751 nucleotides long. Lineage: Eukaryota; Metazoa; Arthropoda; Insecta; Hymenoptera; Halictidae. The record is from RefSeq and is a predicted model, not a curated record.